This 435-nucleotide ribosomal RNA is filed under the name Triticum aestivum (bread wheat). RNAcentral's name for it is "partial small subunit ribosomal RNA". The record is from RNAcentral. Lineage: Eukaryota; Viridiplantae; Streptophyta; Magnoliopsida; Poales; Poaceae.
AUGGAGCGGAUAUGGGGACGCCCGAACACGCCCGCCACGUCAGACCCGUCCCAUGUUGGCCCACCCAACCCCACAUAUAUUCGCUCCAUCCGCUCGUCGGACCAAACCCUAGCCACUUCACUCCACUCCCCUCCGCCACCCGAGCUCACCUCCGCGGUUUCCGGCCUUCUCUGGCAUGGCAGGCAGCGGACCGGACUCCGACCAGUCCAGAUCCGUCGACUGGGGUGUCAUCCCGUGCGGGUUGGAGGAGGCAAUGGCAGUCCACGUUGCACUCCACCGCUCCCGGGAGGACAGCGCCCGACCGACGGACGGAUCUGUCCGCUGCGACUCCAUAGCGUCAGCUCAACGGGCGCUUGGGUCCUCUGGGGUUGGAUCCUCGCAGUCCCGACAGCCGGAACCCCUCUCCUUUCCUAUCACCAGUCGGGCAGACUAUGA